Long non-coding RNA from Hyla sarda, 1261 nucleotides. RefSeq lists it as uncharacterized. The record is from RefSeq and is a predicted model, not a curated record. The transcript is spliced from 4 exons. Lineage: Eukaryota; Metazoa; Chordata; Amphibia; Anura; Hylidae.
AACGCGUUGAAUGCUGGGAGAAUAAACUACCCUUGCUUUUACUUACCUUGAUUGUCCUGUGACCUGCGCCUCUCUAAGCCGGCAUCUCCAUUGAAGUCCAUCUCUGCAUUGCUCUUUGUCUAGCCGGCUGGCUGCGGACACUACAUGCGCUCACCAUUGUUGUGUAUGUGGGUACACAACACUACCAGGUUCCUUUUCUGCUCCCUCCCUCCUAAACUCAUCUUUCAAUCCGAGAAACAGCUCGAAUCUUUCUAGAGAGAGAAGGGAUAAGAUUACAUGCUGCCCGUAGAUGUCUACUGGGGAAGAGAGGCGAGAAGGGAGAUGCAGAAAGAUUAUAGACACGUUUACUGUAGUCAGCUGACUGACCACUUCCUUUGAUAAAUUAAACCCUGUGAUUUUCUUUGGAUCAGACUUGUAAUCACAUGACCCAGUUACAGCAAUGAAACACACUGAAAUACAACAUAUGGUGCUUGAGAUGAAGCCACUCUAGGAAAUGUUCCAAGAACUGCUUCUAUGGGAAAACCUGUCACCUUGUUUUUCUAAGGAUGAGAUAAUGUCACAAGCCCUACACAACCUCCAUGUUAGUUUCCCAGUGCGGUUCUUUACAACAAAUAUUUGUGGCUGAAAUCCUACACCGGGCGUUGCAGAUGUCCGGACUCUGUGGUUAGCAAGUGACCUGUACUAACAUUGCUUCAUUGUAAAGGUAUGAAAAGAAAAGAAACGCAUCGCUUGGUCUACGAAUGCACUAAACUCGUGCUGCCCUUGUCAAAGACACAAGAUACAAACGCAAUCUUUAAUAGGUAUCUGGUUCAAUUCUUCAAAAAUAAUUCUAUUCCCAGGUGUCUGAGUAAAGACUCCGAAAAGGAAGGAAAAACUUUAAUUAGUUUCUUUGAAUAAGAAAGAACACAGAAGAAACUGGCAACAAACAAACAUGUGUCAUGUGACUUACGUCUUGUAUCCUGAGCUGCCAUAAAGGAGUCUUUGAGGGAAGAAGCAGAUGAUAGAUAUCUCUUUAUUAAUAUUGUAUUUCAUGCCUAGUAUAAAUAAUUGAUGUAUAAUCUUCUGUUCACACUUGCCCCAUGCCUUCCAUUCGUAACAUCAAACUAUGAAUCCCAAUGCCACCCAACAGAUCCCAUUGAAUUAUCAUGGAUUUAAUGGGUUCUAAUAUAUAUAAAGGGGUCAAGUAUGUUCCUCUCCCUGAAGAACACAGAUUCCGGUGUAAGAACGAGAUUCAAAAAGUCCAUUAGUCACAGGUCUCUCA